RNAcentral lists this transfer RNA (72 nucleotides) under Chelonia mydas (Green sea turtle). It matches the Rfam family "tRNA". Rfam says of the family: Transfer RNA (tRNA) molecules are approximately 80 nucleotides in length. The record is from Rfam by way of RNAcentral. Lineage: Eukaryota; Metazoa; Chordata; Testudines; Cheloniidae.
GGCAGAGUAGUCCAAUGGGUAGGGCACUGGACAGGGAUGCAGGCGACUUGGGUUACAUUCCUGUCUCUGCCA